This 73-nucleotide transfer RNA is filed under the name Desmophyllum pertusum. Its description in RNAcentral is "Lophelia pertusa tRNA". It matches the Rfam family "tRNA". From Rfam's summary of the family: Transfer RNA (tRNA) molecules are approximately 80 nucleotides in length. Their secondary structure includes four short double-helical elements and three loops (D, anti-codon, and T loops). The record is from Rfam by way of RNAcentral. Lineage: Eukaryota; Metazoa; Cnidaria; Anthozoa; Scleractinia; Caryophylliidae.
UCUCCUGUAGCUCAGUGGUAGAGUGUCCGACCGGUGUGCGGACAGUUCAUAGAUUUGACUCCUGUUGGGGGAA